This 520-nucleotide ribosomal RNA is filed under the name Pseudoalteromonas sp. M101. RNAcentral describes it as "bacterial SSU rRNA". It matches the Rfam family "Bacterial small subunit ribosomal RNA", at positions 1 to 522 of the family's 1533-position model. The record is from RNAcentral. Lineage: Bacteria; Pseudomonadati; Pseudomonadota; Gammaproteobacteria; Alteromonadales; Pseudoalteromonadaceae.
UGGAGAGUUUGAUCCUGGCUCAGAUUGAACGCUGGCGGCAGGCCUAACACAUGCAAGUCGAGCGGUAACAUUUCUAGCUUGCUAGAAGAUGACGAGCGGCGGACGGGUGAGUAAUGCUUGGGAACAUGCCUUGAGGUGGGGGACAACCAUUGGAAACGAUGGCUAAUACCGCAUAAUGUCUACGGACCAAAGGGGGCUUCGGCUCUCGCCUUUAGAUUGGCCCAAGUGGGAUUAGCUAGUUGGUGAGGUAAGGGCUCACCAAGGCAACGAUCCCUAGCUGGUUUGAGAGGAUGAUCAGCCACACUGGAACUGAGACACGGUCCAGACUCCUACGGGAGGCAGCAGUGGGGAAUAUUGCACAAUGGGCGCAAGCCUGAUGCAGCCAUGCCGCGUGUGUGAAGAAGGCCUUCGGGUUGUAAAGCACUUUCAGUCAGGAGGAAAGGUUAGUAGUUAAUACCUGCUAGCUGUGACGUUACUGACAGAAGAAGCACCGGCUAACUCCGUGCCAGCAGCCGCGGUA